GAUGAACGCUGGCGGCGUGCCUAAUACAUGCAAGUCGAGCGAACAGACGAGGAGCUUGCUCCUCUGACGUUAGCGGCGGACGGGUGAGUAACACGUGGAUAACCUACCUAUAAGACUGGGAUAACUUCGGGAAACCGGAGCUAAUACCGGAUAAUAUAUUGAACCGCAUGGUUCAAUAGUGAAAGACGGUUUUGCUGUCACUUAUAGAUGGAUCCGCGCCGCAUUAGCUAGUUGGUAAGGUAACGGCUUACCAAGGCAACGAUGCGUAGCCGACCUGAGAGGGUGAUCGGCCACACUGGAACUGAGACAUGGUCCAGACUCCUACGGGAGGCAGCAGUAGGGAAUCUUCCGCAAUGGGCGAAAGCCUGACGGAGCAACACCGCGUGAGUGAUGAAGGUCUUCGGAUCGUAAAACUCUGUUAUUAGGGAAGAACAAAUGUGUAAGUAACUAUGCACGUCUUGACGGUACCUAAUCAGAAAGCCACGGCUAACUACGUG
This 497-nucleotide ribosomal RNA is filed under the name uncultured bacterium. RNAcentral's name for it is "partial 16S ribosomal RNA". It matches the Rfam family "Bacterial small subunit ribosomal RNA", at positions 28 to 507 of the family's 1533-position model. The record is from RNAcentral.